Sitophilus oryzae (rice weevil) is the source of this 557-nucleotide long non-coding RNA. RefSeq lists it as uncharacterized. The record is from RefSeq and is a predicted model, not a curated record. NCBI's taxonomy places the organism in Eukaryota, Metazoa, Arthropoda, Insecta, Coleoptera, Curculionidae. The transcript has 2 exons.
CAAAUAUUGAAGAAAGUGUUGUGCCUUCACAGAAUUUAAAUUGGCAUUAGGAAUAGAUUUCCUUGAUUUAGUAAUGAUAUUGCUCAUAGAAAUUGAUAAUGUGAAGAAUAACAAUACAGGAACAUAGAAUAACAAGAAAGAAAUUCUAGCAGCAAGUUAGGGACACAGUAAAAAGACAAAACAUUUAGACCCUUUGAAAGAGAAAUGUUUGCAAUGGAUAUUAAUAAAUUCUAGCCAAUUUGUAUGAUGUACAAUGCAGGCAAUAUUUCUGCCUCCUAACGCAAUAUUCGCGUAAAAGAAGAUGUGGGUAUUGUAUUUAUACCUAGGUAGUUAAUGAUACAUGGAAUAUAUUUCUAUAUUAUUGCAAUAACGAUGUCUUUAUGUUGUAUUUUUUUAGAACAGAUUUAUUAUUAGUUGGCUAGUGUGUUAGUAGGAUAGCCAUUGGUAGUUAUAAAGUCGUCAGGUAUUAAUAAUAGGAAUUGAUCAAAGCUUAUACAUUUAUUGUGAAUUUAAGUAGUUAGAGUUUUGGUUGUUUAAUAAACGAAUUAAUGUGCUUA